RNAcentral lists this ribosomal RNA (648 nucleotides) under Candida tropicalis. Its description in RNAcentral is "partial 18S ribosomal RNA". It matches the Rfam family "Eukaryotic large subunit ribosomal RNA", at positions 1 to 604 of the family's 3401-position model. Lineage: Eukaryota; Fungi; Ascomycota; Pichiomycetes; Serinales; Debaryomycetaceae. The record is from RNAcentral.
GGUUUUUACAUCGGUGUUUAAACAAUAAGCGGAGGAAAAGAAACCAACAGGGAUUGCCUUAGUAGCGGCGAGUGAAGCGGCAAAAGCUCAAAUUUGAAAUCUGGCUCUUUCAGAGUCCGAGUUGUAAUUUGAAGAAGGUAUCUUUGGGUCUGGCUCUUGUCUAUGUUUCUUGGAACAGAACGUCACAGAGGGUGAGAAUCCCGUGCGAUAUGAGAUGAUCCAGGCCUAUGUAAAGUUCCUUCGAAGAGUCGAGUUGUUUGGGAAUGCAGCUCUAAGUGGGUGGUAAAUUCCAUCUAAAGCUAAAUAUUGGCGAGAGACCGAUAGCGAACAAGUACAGUGAUGGAAAGAUGAAAAGAACUUUGAAAAGAGAGUGAAAAAGUACGUGAAAUUGUUGAAAGGGAAGGGCUUGAGAUCAGACUUUGGUAUUUUGUAUGUUACUUCUUCGGGGGUGGCCUCUACAGUUUAUCGGGCCAGCAUCAGUUUGGGCGGUAGGAGAAUUGCGUUGGAAUGUGGCACGGCUUCGGGUUGUGUGUUAUAGCCUUCGUCGAUACUGCCAGCCUAGACUGAGGACUGCGGUUUAUACCUAGGAUGUUGGCAUUAGAACUGAUUUUAGUCGUUGGGGAAAAAAAAAAAAAAAAAAAAAAAUUG